This 253-nucleotide ribosomal RNA is filed under the name uncultured bacterium. RNAcentral describes it as "partial 16S ribosomal RNA". It matches the Rfam family "Bacterial small subunit ribosomal RNA", at positions 524 to 776 of the family's 1533-position model. The record is from RNAcentral.
UACGUAGGGUGCAAGCGUUGUCCGGAAUCAUUGGGCGUAAAGAGCGUGUAGGCGGCCAGAAAAGUCCGCUGUGAAAACUCGAGGCUCAACUUCGAGCUGUCGGUGGAAACUUUCUGGCUAGAGUCCGGAAGAGGAGAAUGGAAUUCCUGGUGUAGCGGUGAAAUGCGCAGAUAUCAGGAAGAACACCAAUGGCGAAAGCAGCUUUCUGGGACGGUACUGACGCUGAGACGCGAAAGCGUGGGGAGCGAACAGG